AACGAACGCUGGCGGCAGGCUUAACACAUGCAAGUCGAACGGGUGUAGCAAUACAUCAGUGGCAGACGGGUGAGUAACACGUGGGAACCUUCCUAGGGGUACGGAACAACUCAGGGAAACUUGAGCUAAUACCGUAUACGUCCGUGAGGAGAAAGAUUUAUCGCCCUUAGACGGGCCCGCGUCGGAUUAGGUAGUUGGUGGGGUAACGGCCUACCAAGCCUACGAUCCGUAGCUGAUCUGAGAGGAUGAUCAGCCACACUGGGACUGAGACACGGCCCAGACUCCUACGGGAGGCAGCAGUGGGGAAUCUUGGACAAUGGGCGCAAGCCUGGUCCAGCCAUGCCGCGUGAGUGAAGAAGGCC
RNAcentral lists this ribosomal RNA (362 nucleotides) under uncultured bacterium. RNAcentral describes it as "bacterial SSU rRNA". It matches the Rfam family "Bacterial small subunit ribosomal RNA", at positions 29 to 416 of the family's 1533-position model. The record is from RNAcentral.